This 253-nucleotide ribosomal RNA is filed under the name uncultured bacterium. Its description in RNAcentral is "partial 16S ribosomal RNA". It matches the Rfam family "Bacterial small subunit ribosomal RNA", at positions 524 to 776 of the family's 1533-position model. The record is from RNAcentral. RNAcentral also lists the same sequence under 1 other name.
UACAGAGGUCUCAAGCGUUGUUCGGAUUCAUUGGGCGUAAAGGGUGCGUAGGCGGCGGAGCAAGUCUGAUGUGAAAUCCCGGGGCUCAACCCCGGAACUGCAUUGGAUACUGCUCUGCUUGAGCACUGGAGAGGAGACUGGAAUUUACGGUGUAGCAGUGAAAUGCGUAGAGAUCGUAAGGAAGACCAGUGGCGAAGGCGAGUCUCUGGACAGUUGCUGACGCUGAGGCACGAAGGCCAGGGGAGCAAACGGG